GAUGAACGCUGGCGGCGUGCCUAAUACAUGCAAGUCGAGCGAACAGACGAGGAGCUUGCUCCUCUAACGUUAGCGGCGGACGGGUGAGUAACACGUGGAUAACCUACCUAUAAGACUGGGAUAACUUCGGGAAACCGGAGCUAAUACCGGAUAAUAUAUUGAACCGCAUGGUUCAAUAGUGAAAGACGGUUUUGCUGUCACUUAUAGAUGGAUCCGCGCCGCAUUAGCUAGUUGGUAAGGUAACAGCUUACCAAGGCAACGAUGCGUAGCCGACCUGAGAGGGUGAUCGGCCACCCUGGAACUGAGACACGGUCCAGACUCCUACGGGAGGCAGCAGUAGGGAAUCUUCCGCAAUGGGCGAGAGCCUGACGGAGCAACGCCGCGUGAGUGAUGAAGGUCUUCGGAUCGUAAAACUCUGUUAUUAGGGAAGAACAAAUGUGUAAGUAACUAUGCACGUCUUGACGGUACCUAAUCAGAAAGCCACGGCUAACUACGUG
RNAcentral lists this ribosomal RNA (497 nucleotides) under uncultured bacterium. RNAcentral's name for it is "partial 16S ribosomal RNA". It matches the Rfam family "Bacterial small subunit ribosomal RNA", at positions 28 to 507 of the family's 1533-position model. The record is from RNAcentral.